AGCGGCGGACGGGUGAGUAACGCGUAGGAAUCUACCUGGUAGUGGGGGACAACUUGGGGAAACCCAAGCUAAUACCGCAUACGCCCUACGGGGGAAAGCGGGGGACCUUCGGGCCUCGUGCUAUCAGAUGAGCCUGCGUUGGAUUAGCUUGUUGGUGAGGUAAAGGCUCACCAAGGCGACGAUCCAUAGCUGGUCUGAGAGGAUGAUCAGCCACACUGGAACUGAGACACGGUCCAG
This 237-nucleotide ribosomal RNA is filed under the name uncultured bacterium. RNAcentral describes it as "partial 16S ribosomal RNA". It matches the Rfam family "Bacterial small subunit ribosomal RNA", at positions 94 to 334 of the family's 1533-position model. The record is from RNAcentral.